Molecule: ribosomal RNA, 380 nt
Filed under: uncultured eukaryote
Lineage: Eukaryota
Description: partial 18S ribosomal RNA
Rfam family: Eukaryotic small subunit ribosomal RNA
Source: RNAcentral
CAAUAGCGUAUAUUAAAGUUGUUGCAGUUAAAAAGCUCGUAGUUGGGUCUGUGGUGUGCGGUGGGCUCCGGGCACUUGUUGUCUGAGUAGCUCGCCGCUGCCAUCCUUGGGUGGAACCUGUGUGGCAUUAGGUUGUCGUGCAGGGGAUGCCCAUCGUUUACUGUGAAAAAAUUAGAGUGUUCAAAGCAGGCUUAUGCCGUUGAAUAUAUUAGCAUGGAAUAAUGAGAUAGGACUUUUUCGCUAUUUUGUUGGUUUGCGCGAAGAGGUAAUGAUUAAUAGGGACAGUUGGGGGUAUUCGUAUUCCAUUGUCAGAGGUGAAAUUCUUGGAUUUUUGGAAGACGAACUACUGCGAAAGCAUUUACCAAGGAUGUUUUCAUUAA